RNAcentral lists this ribosomal RNA (253 nucleotides) under uncultured bacterium. RNAcentral's name for it is "partial 16S ribosomal RNA". It matches the Rfam family "Bacterial small subunit ribosomal RNA", at positions 524 to 776 of the family's 1533-position model. The record is from RNAcentral.
UACGUAGGGGGCAAGCGUUGUCCGGAAUCAUUGGGCGUAAAGCGCGUGUAGGCGGCUUGUUAAGUCUGCUCUGAAAGCCCGGGGCUCAACCCCGGGAGGCGGGUGGAUACUGUCAAGCUCGAGUCCGGAAGAGGAGUGUGGAAUUCCUGGUGUAGCGGUGAAAUGCGCAGAUAUCAGGAGGAACACCAAUGGCGAAGGCAGCACUCUGGGACGUGACUGACGCUGAGACGCGAAAGCGUGGGGAGCAAACAGG